UACGUAGGGUGCAAGCGUUGUCCGGAAUUAUUGGGCGUAAAGAGCUCGUAGGCGGUUUGUUGCGUCGGCUGUGAAAUCCCGAGGCUCAACCUCGGGUCUGCAGUCGAUACGAGCAAACUACAGUGUUGCAGGGGAGACUGGAAUUCCUGAUGUAGCGGUGAAAUGCGCAGAUAUCAGGAGGAACACCGGUGGCGAAGGCGGGUCUCUGGGCAACAACUGACGCUGAGGAGCGAAAGCGUGGGGAGCGAACAGG
Molecule: ribosomal RNA, 253 nt
Filed under: uncultured bacterium
Lineage: Bacteria
Description: partial 16S ribosomal RNA
Rfam family: Bacterial small subunit ribosomal RNA
Source: RNAcentral